AGGGAGAGCUCAAAUUUGAAAGCUGGUACCUUCGGUAUCCGCGUUGUAACCUCGAGACACGUUUUCCGUGCGGCGCUAUGGACAAGUUCCUUGGAACAGGACAUCGUAGAGGGUGAAAAUCCCGUACUUGCCAUGGAUGUACCGUGCUUUGCGAUACGUGCUCUAAGAGUCGAGUUGUUUGGGAUUGCAGCUCAAAAUGGGUGGUAGACUCCAUCUAAAGCUAAAUAUCGGGGAGAGACCGAUAGCGAACAAGUACCGUGAGGGAAAGAUGAAAAGCACUUUGGAAAGAGAGUUAAAAGUACGUGAAAUUGUCGAAAGGGAAGCGCUUGAAGUCAGCCAUGCCGCUCAGGACUCAGCCUGGCUUUUGCUUGGUGUAUUUCCUGGGUAGCAAGUCAGCAUUGGUUUGGAUCGUCGGAGAAGCAUAGUCGGAAUGUGGCGCCCUCGGGCGUGUUAUAGCCUUCUAUUGGAUACGACGAUCUAGACCAAGGAACGCAGCGCGCCUUA
Molecule: ribosomal RNA, 504 nt
Filed under: Malassezia furfur
Lineage: Eukaryota; Fungi; Basidiomycota; Malasseziomycetes; Malasseziales; Malasseziaceae
Description: eukaryotic LSU rRNA
Rfam family: Eukaryotic large subunit ribosomal RNA
Source: RNAcentral